Molecule: unclassified non-coding RNA, 329 nt
Filed under: soil metagenome
Description: partial contains 5.8S ribosomal RNA, internal transcribed spacer 2, and large subunit ribosomal RNA
Rfam family: 5.8S ribosomal RNA (bases 1-120)
Source: RNAcentral
GAUGAAGAACGUAGCGAAAUGCGAUAAGUAAUGUGAAUUGCAGAAUUCAGUGAAUCAUCGAAUCUUUGAACGCACAUUGCGCCCCCUGGUAUUCCGGGGGGCAUGCCUGUCCGAGCGUCAUUACAACCCUCAAGCUCAGCUUGGUGUUGGGCCCCGCCGCCCCGGCGGGCCCUAAAGUCAGUGGCGGUGCCGUCCGGCUCCGAGCGUAGUAAUUCUUCUCGCUCUGGAGGUCCGGUCGUGUGCUCGCAAGCAACCCCCAAUUGGUUUCAGGUUGACCUCGGAUCAGGUAGGGAUACCCGCUGAACUUAAGCAUAUCAAUAAGCGGAGGA